Hyla sarda is the source of this 1705-nucleotide long non-coding RNA. RefSeq lists it as uncharacterized. The transcript is spliced from 3 exons. NCBI's taxonomy places the organism in Eukaryota, Metazoa, Chordata, Amphibia, Anura, Hylidae. The record is from RefSeq and is a predicted model, not a curated record.
CUAAGAGGUGAAUGAAGGCCCAGUCAGUGCUAAUUGCAUGGGGAAGCAAUGCUGUACUAUAGUGGUUUAGACCUCAAUGCUGUAGUGAUCCCUUACUACCCUUACUAUGGAAGAAUGCUGCCCAAGAGUCCCUGGUCAAUACCCUUGGCGUCACUAGCAGGUUUUAUUGUUCACUAGAGAUGAAACCCGUGACUUUCACAGCUCAUUCAUAACAUACAAAGAAGAGCUACAUGUCCAAACAUCAAGGGUCCACUGUCACUGGAGAGUUGUUCUUCUCAAGAUUGAAUGCUUUGCUAAAGCUGGUAAAAUGGAACCAAAUCAACUGUUGAAUGGAUUUGGUCCCCUUCAACCAGCUGCAGCUGUGCAUUGAUCACUCUGACAUAGCUGCCGACUAAAGAAAGUGGGAAGAAUCGACAUCAAACCGGGCACAAGCGGUGCGUGGGCCGCCAUCAAUAACUAAUGAUGCUUACUGAAAUCUUCCUAGACAACCUCUGCUCUAAUUCAGGGGGCAGUGCUUGAAGAGUGUGCCGGUCAAUGCUGUGUAAGAGUGUCUUUAGAAGAUUAAUAAUCUACAUAGUCAUUCUGUAUUGAUCCUGUGCUGAAGGAGUGUGGGGCAGAUGUGAUAUUAACAGUUCUGCUGUUUUUUAGCUGCAGCAAUGUGACCUGCCACACAUCUCUUCAGAUCUAACUAUGUGUGAAUACUAUUAACAUAGAAAGAAUAGAAAGAGACACUUGGGGAGUUUUAUCAAAACCUGUGCAGAGGUGCAAAGGUUGACCAGUUGCCCAUAGCAACUAAUCAGAUUCCUUCUUUAAUUUUUAAAAAGAUCUCUGAAAAAUAAAAGAAGCAAUCUGAUUGGUUACCAUGGUAACUGGUCAACCUUUCCUUUGCACAGGUUUUGAUAAAUCUCCCCAGCUAAACCUAAUAUAUUCAGGCAAGUUUCACAUGAGUGUAACAUAGCCAUAGCUUGCUUCUUUCAUUUCAAACAAGGCCUCUGUAAAAUGAAAGAAAUGAUCUGAUUGGUUGCUAUAGGCAACUGAGCAACUUUGCACAAGUUUUGAUAAAUCUCCCCCACAGUGUCUACUCAUAGCAGAUGCGCAGCGGACAACCAGAGCUGCUCAGGCGCAGCAGGGAACUCGCUCUUGUGACUGCAGUCAGCGCAUCCGCAGGGUGAAAUACAAUACGGAUGCGCUUCCUGUAACCCUACCCUAAGGAAACAUCAGGGGCAAAACUUUCCUCCCAUAUUCAAAUUCCACAACAUACAAACUCCUCAAAUAUGACAAUUCCAAAUUUUCAUUCAUAAGUAAAAGGACUAUGGAAGCCAUUACAUCAUUCAAUGGAAAUCAGACAGAUUUCUGGUGUACAGGGCUAAUUUUCUGUUAAUAUUUGCAAUGGUUUCAAUUAACACUAAAACGCAAGAAGUAGACUGCAAAAUAACCGAUAGAUGGUUUAUAAUCCUACACAACUUACAGAAUUUACCCCUGUUCCCCCAUUCUUAAAGAGGUACUCCGCCUCUAGACGUCUUAUCCCCGGGGUCCUGCUGCUGGGGACCCCGGGGAUCGCUGCUGCAGCACCCCGCUAUCAUUACUGCGCAGAGCGAGUUCGCUUUGCACGUAAUGACGGGCAAUACAGGGGCCGGAGCAUCGUUACAUCACGGCUCCGCCCCUCUUGACAUCACGGCCCGCCCCCGUCAAUACAAGUCUAUGG